AUGGCUGUCCCACAAGUUGACAAGAAAAUGCUUGGUGAACUUGAAGUUAUGGGAUUCCCCGCCGUUCGUUCAAUUAGGGCACUUCAUUAUUCUGGUAAUUCCAAUCUUGAAUCUGCGAUAAAUUGGCUUCUGGAACAUGAAAGUGACCCAGACAUUGAUCAGCUACCAUUGGUUUCAAGAGAAAUCAGCAUUGAAUGUGGUGACACAUCAAGCGAAGUGAGAAACAGCGUUCAAGGAAUGAGCUUGAAUCUUGGAAUGCAUGGGUACCUCACAAAAAGAAACAGAGGGUUAUUAUUACGAUUUACGGACUACCGAUGGAGAAUAUGCAUUCAUGAGAAGCUUAUCUACUCCAAGACCCAUGCCCAGGCGAGAAAACCAGAAGAGCAAACUACAGCUGGAAGUCAGAAGGAGACUUCAGAGGUGGAAAGAGAACUCAAUGCCAAUGAACAUGAGGAAGAGGAUAGAAAGAGGGUUUUAGCACUACAUAAGUCAAAGCGUGACGAGGAAGAAAAAGCACGAGGGAGAAUCAGAAAUCAACUUCAGGAGGAUAAGAGGGAGAGGAUUCAAGCUGCUAAAGAUGUUAUCGAAGCAAAACGGACUCUUGAAGAAAAUCAAAGAAAACGCAUGAUGGAAAGUCGAAAAGCAGAACAAGAGGAGGAGAAAAGAGCAAGAGAGAGAAUCCGUCAGCGUAUAGAGGAUGAUAAGGCAGAAAGAAGGAGAGGGCUUGGUUUGCCACGGGAAAAUACAGUAGCAUCAGCUCCGAUAGUAACUCUCGCAAAGGUAAAACCUAUUGAACCAGUUGUAACAUCAGAACAAUUGAGAGAUUGCCUACGAACUCUGAAAAAGAAUCACAAGGAUGACAACGCUAGAGUGAAAAGAGCAUUCCAAAUAUUGCUGAAGAUAGUCGCCAACAUAGUAAAGAACCCAGAAGAGGAGAGGUUCAGGAGGAUUCGACUAAGCAACCCUGUUUUCAAGGACAGGGUGGGUAAUCUGCAAGGCGGCGUAGAGUUCCUGGAGCUGUGCGGGUUCCAGAAGCUCAGGAACAACAGCUACCUGGUCAUGCCGAGGGGCAAGGCCGACGUGGCGCUCCUCAACGCGGCGGGGGUCGAGAUCGCGUCUGCCAUGGAGAAUCCCUACUUUGGGCUGCUCUCCAAGUGA
Molecule: ribosomal RNA, 1158 nt
Filed under: Triticum aestivum (bread wheat)
Lineage: Eukaryota; Viridiplantae; Streptophyta; Magnoliopsida; Poales; Poaceae
Description: partial small subunit ribosomal RNA
Source: RNAcentral